Eubalaena glacialis (North Atlantic right whale) is the source of this 426-nucleotide long non-coding RNA. RefSeq lists it as uncharacterized. NCBI's taxonomy places the organism in Eukaryota, Metazoa, Chordata, Mammalia, Artiodactyla, Balaenidae. The transcript has 3 exons. The record is from RefSeq and is a predicted model, not a curated record.
CGCCCGGCCCAGACCCGGCUCCGCGCCAGCCACCGGAGGGCUUUCCCCGGCGUCCCGAGCCGGGCUCGCGACCCGCCACGCAGACACCGAGGAAACCCCGUCAGCAGAGCAAAACGCAUCCGACCCCAGAAGCUCCUCUCCGUAUAGAUGUGGCUGUGUGUAAAGAUGUCCUGGACGGCUCUGAGAAUGCGUCUGCGUUUUAGUCACAGAAAAGUUGCAGAUAUGUAAAGAAUUCCUGGGCUUCCCUGGUGGCGCAGUGGUUAAGAAUCAGCCUGCUAAUGCAGGGGACACGGGUUCGAGCCCUGGUCCGGGAAGAUCCCACAUGCCACGGAGCAACUAAGCCUGUGCGCCACAACUACUGAGCCUGCACGUCUGGAGCCUGUGCUCCGCAACAAGAGAGGCCACGAUAGUGAGAGGCCCGCACAC